AUCUCCCGUAAGCGCCUCAAGGCACCCGAGCUUCUGUGGGUUUCUCUAUCUUGUACUCUGUGAAAGUCAUGGGAGGCAGUUUUUCUGGGUAGUAGGACAGGAAGUAGAGUUAGCAAGCACCCAGCUGGCUCUGGGGCUUCAGCUGUCCCCCUUUCUGUAGGAAAGCCAUCACCAAGUCGGGCCUCCAGCACCUGGCACCCCCUCCUCCCACGCCUGGGGCCCCGUGCGGUGAAUCUGAGCGGCAGAUCCGGAGUACUGUGGACUGGAGUGAGUCAGCAGCGUAUGGGGAGCACAUCUGGUUUGAGACCAACGUGUCCGGAGAUUUCUGCUAUGUCGGGGAGCAGUACUGUGUAGCUAAGAUGCUGCCGAAGUCAGCGCCCAGAAGAAAGUGUGCAGC
This 397-nucleotide long non-coding RNA is filed under the name Rattus norvegicus (Norway rat). RNAcentral's name for it is "long non-coding RNA NONRATT019467". Lineage: Eukaryota; Metazoa; Chordata; Mammalia; Rodentia; Muridae. The record is from RNAcentral.